This 366-nucleotide long non-coding RNA is filed under the name Elaeis guineensis (African oil palm). RNAcentral's name for it is "long non-coding RNA (EGUI_LNC069702)". Lineage: Eukaryota; Viridiplantae; Streptophyta; Magnoliopsida; Arecales; Arecaceae. The record is from RNAcentral.
ACUAAUGAUCUUGGUUCAGGUCCUAUCGUCCCCCAAUUUUCAGCCAGGUUUCCUCCCAUCUUGGUUAAAAUGAUAUUGAUGAUGAUGAUGAUGGACUGUUACGACUUCACCGAUCAAUUUGUACGGAGGCAGAUCUUUGUUUGGUCUUCAGGCCAGCCUAACCUGCCCAAAUUGUAGUCCACUAAUAUCUCAUUUAUUAUCAUUUUAUGAAUAGUUGGCUUGGCCUGGUAAUGGCAAUAGAUUUUACACUGGUUAAAACCUAUCAUUGGUUUCAUGUCUUCUAUUUACUCCUCGGUAAAUUUCAGAAUGGAUCUAUAUGAUUAGGAAAUGCAGGAGAGACUUAGCUGAAGCAUCCCUCAGUAGGCC